GAGUUUGAUCUUGGCUCAGAUUGAACGCUGGCGGCAUGCCUUACACAUGCAAGUCGAACGGCAGCACGGGAGCUUGCUCCUGGUGGCGAGUGGCGAACGGGUGAGUAAUGCAUCGGAACGUAUCCUGGAGUGGGGGAUAACGUAGCGAAAGUUACGCUAAUACCGACAUAUUCUGUGAGCAGGAAAGCGGGGGACCUUCGGGCCUCGCGCUCUUGGAGCGGCCGAUGUCGGAUUAGCUAGUUGGUGAGG
Molecule: ribosomal RNA, 249 nt
Filed under: bacterium enrichment culture clone ALO1_GLFRUDD03G1MQE
Lineage: Bacteria
Description: partial 16S ribosomal RNA
Rfam family: Bacterial small subunit ribosomal RNA
Source: RNAcentral